This is a long non-coding RNA of Antechinus flavipes (yellow-footed antechinus), 352 nucleotides long. RefSeq lists it as uncharacterized. The record is from RefSeq and is a predicted model, not a curated record. The transcript has 2 exons. NCBI's taxonomy places the organism in Eukaryota, Metazoa, Chordata, Mammalia, Dasyuromorphia, Dasyuridae.
UCUUUGGAGAUUUAAAGUGUUCACUCAGAUGCACACAGAUGAAGCAGUGCUUCAGCUCCAAUCAGUUCCUAUCCUCUCUGGAGAUCCUGCUGGCCUUGAGGACCUCAGGCAUCAGCAAGACAACAUGAUCAAGUCAGAUACAAACGGGUCCAUUUGAGGAAAAAUCAAACAACAUGCCAACUGUGAGCUCCAGAGAAUUGAACUACAAACCAACAGAAUUCUCUCAAUCAUGCCAACAGAAUACACAAAAAAAGACAUGUUUCUUUUGCCUAAGCUACUGAGGGGGAAGCAAAAAGGGAGGCAAAGAAAAAAAGAAGGGGAAAAAUAAAACUUUUCCUUGUUAUUUUUAAAA